Molecule: long non-coding RNA, 2017 nt
Organism: Vigna angularis (adzuki bean)
Lineage: Eukaryota; Viridiplantae; Streptophyta; Magnoliopsida; Fabales; Fabaceae
Exons: 9
Source: RefSeq, a predicted model, not a curated record
AAGAACGAAUUAUUCUUUAUGCAUUGACAACAAAAAAGGAAAAACUGAUGAUGUAGAUAAAACCCUAAACCCUAAAUUCGAUAUGUUAUGUGAUUGUUGUCACUCGUUCUGCUUUGGUGCUUCAUCUCCAAAACCCACCAAUUCGCUACCAGUUCUUCUCCCACUUCCUCAAACCAACCUUCCCUUCUGUCUUCAAACCUCGUCCCUUCUCUCUAAUCACUCCACGCCAAACACAUGCUACGCCCUUUGUUAAUGCUGUUGCAUCAGCUUCAUCAUCACAAGCUUCCAAUGGCAGAGACACUUUCUUUGUUAUUGGCCUCAACAGACCCUCUCUCGUUCAGGCUUCUUCAGUACCGUCUGUGAUGUCAGGGAAGGAUGUUGUUAUUGCCGCGGAGACUGGGAGUGGUAAGACAUACAGUUACCUAGUUCCUCUUAUUGAUAAGCUAAGGGAUGCCCAGGAACAUUCUCUACAUGCUAUGUCUGAUCAGGAAGCGACCCCGACACAAAGUUUUGCUCAUCCUUUGUCCGAAUGUGCAACUUUGUGAGCAGGUAGUUAGGAUGGACAGCACUCUACGUAGGGAUGAUGGUGAGGCGAUAGUCAGUGUGGCUGCCAUUUGUGGUAGGAAGGGAUGGCCAAUUCGGGAACCUGAUGUCAUUGGGACAACACCUGCUGCCCUUCUGAAUUAUCUUGACCUUGAUAGAACUCGCCGCAUGGAAUUUAUGCGUGGUGUUAAAUAUGUGGUAUGUCUAGGUAAUUUGAGUGCCACAUUUGUAGGCUUUUGUUAACAUAUAGGUAACUGAUGCCGCAUUUGCGGGCUUAACUUAAUACCUCUUUAAGUUUGCUUUUGAGAGUUUUGUGUUAACAAAUAAAAAUGUGUAACUCGCGACCCCUUAGUGUGUACAAGGGAUAUUCGUUGUCAAAGGACACUGAGGAAUAUCUUGCCUCGCAUGGACUAAAAAAUGCACUAUAUACAAUUAGAGCUGCGGAUUUGAAAGAGGAUGUGUUGGGCAUGCUUGUUCCUUGCCCAUUCCAGGGGGGAAUUUGAAUCGAUGAUAAAAUAUGCUCUCAUGAUGUAAAUAUCUUUCACAUUCAUAUUACUAGUGCAUUGGUGAUUGAUGGGAGAACCUCCUACCAAAGAGGGCAAAUCAAAUGUUGACGUAUCUAAAAAGAGACCUUUGGGAGUGCUUGGACAGGAUGAGUUGAGAUCAGUACAAUUUGGAACUACAACACCACUAUCAGGAAGGCAAAAUUCCAGGAAAGCAAUAGUUGAAGAUCCCUUGAGAAAGCAAGUCAAGUUAGAUCAUAAUGCUUUAACCGAAGCACCUUCAUAAGCAACUCGGACUUUUAUUCUUGAGUUUGAUGGUGUGUCGAACGGAAAUCCUGGAAAAUCUGGUGCUUGGGCUGUUCUGCGAGCUAUGGAUGGAAGUUUGGUAUGCAUUUGAUGUUUCUGUAUCUAGUCAUCAUUGCCAUACAACAAUAAUCUCUUGCUUGGAACUUCAAUUCUGAUGCUGGCACUCAAGCAAAUUUGGCUAUCAACCUUGCAGAUGGCCAAGUCCAGGAAGAGUGUAUAUAAUAUUGACUGAUGGCUGCUGCUGGGUGGGAUUUGUUGCUGGAACACGUCUGCAGUUUGAAGAAGUGUCUCAGCAGUUAUACAACUUAAGGCCUCAGCGUUUUGAAUUUCCAUAAUUUUUUGGCCGCAAUGGAAGAUUCCCAUUACGACUUAUCGACACUGCAAUCAUAUCAAGUUGAGUUCGUUAUUUUCAUUUUUGAGCAUACGGAAGAUCAGAAUAUCUUGCAGUCUAAAGAAAACAUGAUUCUUGUUCAAUAACGCUAAUAUUAUUACUUAGUUGAAAAUGUUGUUUCAUUAUUAAUUUUGUAUCUAUUCAGGCUCGAUUUACGUGCACGGUAGUCUUUCAAUUAUUGUAAGAAUAUUCUGUAAACUAAUGCUUUCAACUCCUGCUAUCCAGUGAAGUUGAUAUUGGGAGUAUUAUGUAUUGAUGUGGAUCAGUUUAGAUA